CGGAGAGGGAGCAUGAGAAACGGCUACCACUUCUAAGGAAGGCAGCAGGCGCGCAAAUUACCCAAUCCUGACUCAGGGAGGUAGUGACAAGAAAUAACAAUAAACCGGCUUAUGCCGGUUUAAUUGGAAUGAGUACAAUUUAAACAUCUUAACGAGGAACAAUUGGAGAGCAAGUCUGGUGCCAGCAGCCGCGGUAAUUCCAGCUCCAAUAGCGUAUACUAAAGUUGUUGCAGUUAAAAAGCUCGUAGUUGGAUUUCUGCGGGGACGGAGCGGCCGGUCGCAACUUGCGACUCGAGCUAGCGCUUUCCCCGCAUCCUGCCGCGAACCGUGCUACCAUUAGCUUGGUGGCGCUGGGGGUCGGCUCGAUUACUUUGAGAAAAAUAGAGUGUUCAAAGCAGGCCACACGCCUUGAAUAAGUUAGCAUGGAAUAAUGACUAAGGACUUCGGUUCUAUUUUGUUGGUGUUCGGGACUGAAGUAAUGAUUGAUAGGGACAGUUGGGGCGGUCUGUAUUCCAAAGCGAGAGGUGAAAUUCUUAGACCUUCGGAAGACAAACAGCUGCGAAAGCGUUCCGCAAGGAUGUUCCCUUUGAUCAAGAACGAAAGUUGGGGGAUCGAAGACGAUCAGAUACCGUCGUAGUCUCAACUAUAAACUAUACCAGCUAGGGAUCGGUCAACGUUUAAUCAUUCGACUUGAUCGGCACCUUAUGAGAAAUCAAAGCAUCUGGGUUCCGGGGGGAGUAUGGUCGCAAGGCUGAAACUUAAAGGAAUUGACGGAAGGGCACCACCAGCCGUGGAGCCUGUGGCUUAAUUUGACUCAACACGGGAAAACUUACCAGGUCCAGACAUAGUAAGGAUUGACAGAUUGAUAGCUCUUUCUUGAUUCUGUGGGUGGUGGUGCAUGGCCGUUCUUAGUUGGUGGAGUGAUUUGUCUGGUUAAUUCCGUUAACGAACGAGACCCCAGCCUGCUAAAUAGCGCGGCUGAGCUUUGCUCGGUGCGGGCUUCUUAGAGGGACUAUGAUGCGCGAUAGCACAUGGAAGUUUGGGGCAAUAACAGGUCUGUGAUGCCCUUAGAUGUUCUGGGCCGCACACGGGCUACACUGGCGCCUGCAACGAGCAUAUCAGCUGGCCCGAGAGGGUCUUGGCUAAUCUUUUGAACCAGCGCCGUGCUUGGGAUUGACCAUUGCAAUUGUUGGUCAUGCAACGAGGAAUGCCUUGUAAACGCGAGUCAUCAGCUCGCAUUGAAUACGUCCCUGCCCUUUGUACACACCGCCCGUCGCUCCUACCGAUGAAUGUUCCGAUGAAAUUUUCGGAGAGCGCCAGAGAACGGGGCUCCGCCUUGCAGAUCUGGAGGCUCAAAGUCACUUAAAUCUGAACAUUUCGAGGAAGGAGAAGUCGUAACAAGGUAACC
This 1408-nucleotide ribosomal RNA is filed under the name uncultured Rhizaria. RNAcentral describes it as "SSU rRNA". It matches the Rfam family "Eukaryotic small subunit ribosomal RNA", at positions 384 to 1804 of the family's 1831-position model. The record is from RNAcentral.